GGGGGAGCGGUGGGGAGCUGCAGGCCGACACAAGGCUUGCGCCGCGGGAGUGCUGGAAAGUGCAGGGCCGGGAUGCAGCAGAGCUGGGUACAACACCCAUCGCAAUGCAUUGCCGGGCUGCAGCAGAGCAGGUUGCAAUGCCCGUCGCAAUGCAUCGCAGCGCUGCAGCAGAGCAGGUUGCAUUUUCCUGCAGCCCCGCAGCACACUCACUACUGGAGGGGGUAUCAGCCGGCUUGGGAAAGCCCCCCAGGGAGAUCAAAGCUCCAUGCCCAGCACUGCCCCCUGCUGGCUGGAAAGCUAGGGUGGGGGGGGGAAGGGAAGUGAUAGAGACACCCCCUCCGCAUCCUUGGAAUUGGGGCAGGGGGAUUGUCUGCUCCCCUCCCCAGCCCAAUGGUCCAUAAGGGUCACGGACCAGUUUGGGGGGGAGAGGUUUUAGAGGUUGGUUUGGGGGCAAGGUGGGGGGACAAAUUUUCUCCUUAGCCCCUCCCCACAGGUUGAGCCAGAUCAUCCCCAUCCCAGCUACGGGGCCAGACCCCCGAUUCCCACCCCCAGGGAAAUCCGCACACCCCUAUGCUCCCCCAAAUCUGACCCGCUCUCCUAAUGGGGCAACAAAGGAUUCUGAGAGUGGCCCGACUCCCCCGACCCCGCACAG
Long non-coding RNA from Gopherus flavomarginatus (Mexican gopher tortoise), 652 nucleotides. RefSeq lists it as uncharacterized. Lineage: Eukaryota; Metazoa; Chordata; Testudines; Testudinidae. The transcript is spliced from 3 exons. The record is from RefSeq and is a predicted model, not a curated record.